GCUUCAUCUUCUCCACUCGUUGACAGAAAGCAUGGCUGCCCGCCGUUUGGGACGUUUAGCCACCUCCGCUACGCGCUGCCUUCCUCUCUGCAAUUCUGUUCGAUCUACCAAUUCCUUUUCAGAGCAGGAAAACGACGCCCCCGCCUAGGAGAAACAAGCUAUACACGCUCUUUGCAAAUCCAACAAAUGAAUCCACAGGUCCCUGCGUGUCCGAGACAAAAUGUCAAUCAUUGUCUCCAUUAUCACAACUUUGGAAGGCAAACAUCAUCUAUACUAAGCCUGACAUAUACUAUGUUUAUUGUUGCGAUAAAGUUCUUGGUUCUUAUUUUGCUGCAUAUUGCAUUGCACCAUCAACACCAUGUCAUGUCGCCCAAAUAUUACAAAUGUCUCCCCUCUGUUCUGGUGAAUGAUAAUUGCUUCACUGGGGCUAGUUCGAAUGGUCUAUUUCUUCUUCGUAGUAGUAAGUUGGGUUCUGCUCUUUUGAACCCAACAACGGGUGAGUAUAUUGUGGAACUCGUUCCUCGUCUUGAUACAAUGCUGCUGCAUUCUGGAAUGUGGUAUGACCACAAAUGUGAUGAUUAUAAAUUGCACGCUCCUAUUUAUUAGAUGAAGCAGAGUUGUAUGGGUAUCACAUUGAAUUAUAUUCGCUCAAAACUAAUUCCUGGAAGAGAAUAAUACCAUUCCACAUUCCCAUAUCCUAAAGGUAAAUGCCACUGUGAUUUUGAUCUUCCAGAGUAUAAAGGCUCGUUAAGUGCUCUUGAGUACUUCUAUGAUAAACCUGUAGGCCUUCCUAAUCCUUUUACUUAUCAUCCUUAUAAAUAUCAUCUUUGGGUAAUGAGAGAUGGAUCUUGGAUAAGAGAAUCUGUUUUCCAUGCUCAUCGUGCUCGGCAGCCAUUAUUUUUUUCGGUUGAUGGUAAGUUAUUGUACUUUGCAAGCUUGACUGAUGAUAUAAUGGUGUUUGAUCGUGCCACUGGAAAGUUGAAGAAUCAUGGUGGCAAUAAAUAUUCGAUUUAUCCAAAGCUCAUUCCUUUUGUUGAGAGCUUUGUUCAAUUCAAUGGAAUUACACAUGUUGAGGAGUGUGGAGGCUAUGUGAGGGCUAUUUGAUGUCCAGUUGAUGUGGCAAGCUGAUGUGGCAGG
This is a long non-coding RNA of Salvia splendens (bonfire salvia), 1137 nucleotides long. RefSeq lists it as uncharacterized. NCBI's taxonomy places the organism in Eukaryota, Viridiplantae, Streptophyta, Magnoliopsida, Lamiales, Lamiaceae. The transcript is spliced from 4 exons. The record is from RefSeq and is a predicted model, not a curated record.